UACGGGGGGGGUAAGCGUUGUUCGGAAUUACUGGGCGUAAAGGGCUCGUAGGCGGCCAACUAAGUCAGACGUGAAAUCCCUCAGCUUAACUGGGGAACUGCGUCUGAUACUGGAUGGCUUGGAUUCGGGAGAGGAAUGCGGAAUUCCAGGUGUAGCGGUGAAAUGCGUAGAUAUCUGGAGGAACACCGGUGGCGAAGGCGGCAUUCUGGACCGACAUUGACGCCGAGGAGCGAAAGCCAGGGGAGCAAACGGG
This 253-nucleotide ribosomal RNA is filed under the name uncultured bacterium. RNAcentral describes it as "partial 16S ribosomal RNA". It matches the Rfam family "Bacterial small subunit ribosomal RNA", at positions 524 to 776 of the family's 1533-position model. The record is from RNAcentral.